GACGAACGCUGGCGGCGUGCUUAACACAUGCAAGUCGAACGGAAAGGCCCUGCUUUUGUGGGGUGCUCGAGUGGCGAACGGGUGAGUAACACGUGAGUAACCUGCCCUUGACUUUGGGAUAACUUCAGGAAACUGGGGCUAAUACCGGAUAGGAGCUCCUGCUGCAUGGUGGGGGUUGGAAAGUUUCGGCGGUUGGGGAUGGACUCGCGGCUUAUCAGCUUGUUGGUGGGGUAGUGGCUUACCAAGGCUUUGACGGGUAGCCGGCCUGAGAGGGUGACCGGCCACAUUGGGACUGAGAUACGGACCAGACUCAUACGGGAGGCAGCAGUGGGGAAUAUUGCACAAUGGGCGGAAGCCUGAUGCAGCAACGCCGCGUGCGGGAUGACGGCCUUCGGGUUGUAAACCGCUUUCGCCUGUGACGAAGCGUGAGUGACGGUAAUGGGUAAAGAAGCACCGGCUAACUACGUG
Molecule: ribosomal RNA, 468 nt
Filed under: uncultured bacterium
Lineage: Bacteria
Description: partial 16S ribosomal RNA
Rfam family: Bacterial small subunit ribosomal RNA
Source: RNAcentral